RNAcentral lists this ribosomal RNA (506 nucleotides) under uncultured bacterium. RNAcentral's name for it is "partial 16S ribosomal RNA". It matches the Rfam family "Bacterial small subunit ribosomal RNA", at positions 29 to 523 of the family's 1533-position model. The record is from RNAcentral.
AGUGAACGCUGGCGGUAGGCCUAACACAUGCAAGUCGAACGGCAGCACAGGAGAGCUUGCUCUCUGGGUGGCGAGUGGCGGACGGGUGAGGAAUACAUCGGAAUCUACUUUUUCGUGGGGGAUAACGUAGGGAAACUUACGCUAAUACCGCAUACGACCUACGGGUGAAAGCAGGGGACCUUCGGGCCUUGCGCGAUUGAAUGAGCCGAUGUCGGAUUAGCUAGUUGGCGGGGUAAAGGCCCACCAAGGCGACGAUCCGUAGCUGGUCUGAGAGGAUGAUCAGCCACAAUGGAACUGAGACACGGUCCAGACUCCUACGGGAUGCAGCAGUGGGGAAUAUUGGACAAUGGGCGCAAGCCUGAUCCAGCCAUACCGCGUGGGUGAAGAAGGCCUUCGGGUUGUAAAGCCCUUUUGUUGGGAAAGAAAUCCAGCUGGCUAAUACCCGGUUGGGAUGACGGUACCCAAAGAAUAAGCACCGGCUAACUUCGUGCCAGCAGCCGCGGUAA